GGGAGGAGGGAAGGAGCCCGGCGUCCGACGAGCUCAAGGAGGCGGCAAUCGCCGAACUGGCUUCUCGAAGAAGGGGUGUGCGGUGGCGCGACGUCGCUCCGACGAGUGGCGGUGGACGAAGGCCGGCGCGUGGACGAGCUACCCUUCCCCUUCGCUGCAGGUAGGUGGCUCAGGCUCCGCGAAGCACGCCCGUGUCUGGUUUCUAUUUCGGCGAGGCAGAGGUGACCGGCAGACUGGAAGUACCGGCGGAGCCUACGGGAGCAGUGGCGACCGGCGAGGCCACCGGCGGAGACCGGAGGCAGAUGUUUGCCUUUUUUUCCUUGAAAAGGCUGCUACAAUGGAGAAAGAAAAGUUAUAACUUUUCAAUAAGAAAAGUUAUGUUUAGAACUUUUCCCUUUUUCAAUAAAUUUUCUUUAUUUCCAUAAGUUAUGUAUAUAAGUUUUUUAAUUUAAAAAGUUGCACGU
Molecule: long non-coding RNA, 464 nt
Filed under: Setaria viridis
Lineage: Eukaryota; Viridiplantae; Streptophyta; Magnoliopsida; Poales; Poaceae
Description: long non-coding RNA (SVIR_LNC007355)
Source: RNAcentral